UGUAACCGACAAGUACUAUUUGGU
RNAcentral lists this non-coding RNA (24 nucleotides) under Arabidopsis thaliana (thale cress). The record is from RNAcentral. Lineage: Eukaryota; Viridiplantae; Streptophyta; Magnoliopsida; Brassicales; Brassicaceae.